This 257-nucleotide ribosomal RNA is filed under the name uncultured Glomeromycotina. RNAcentral describes it as "partial 18S ribosomal RNA". It matches the Rfam family "Eukaryotic small subunit ribosomal RNA", at positions 624 to 886 of the family's 1831-position model. The record is from RNAcentral. Lineage: Eukaryota; Fungi; Glomeromycota.
AAGCUCGUAGUUGAAUUUCGGGGUUCUACCGUCGGUCGGGCUACCAAGUCUGUACUGGUGUGUAGAAUUUCUACCUUCUGGAGAACCAUCAUGUUAUUAAUUUAGCGUGGUGGGAAACCAGGACCUUUACCUUGAAAAAAUUAGAGUGUUCAAAGCAGGCUUAUGUCUGAAUACAUUAGCAUGGAAUAAUAGAAUAGGACGGUGGUCCUGUUUUGUUGGUUUCUGAAUCACCAUAAUGAUUAAUAGGGAUAGUUGGG